This 492-nucleotide ribosomal RNA is filed under the name uncultured bacterium. Its description in RNAcentral is "partial 16S ribosomal RNA". It matches the Rfam family "Bacterial small subunit ribosomal RNA", at positions 29 to 507 of the family's 1533-position model. The record is from RNAcentral.
ACGAACGCUGGCGGCGUGCUUAACACAUGCAAGUCGAACGGUGAAGCGCCUUCCUUUUGGUGGGUGUGGAUGAGUGGCGAACGGGUGAGUAACACGUGAGUAACCUGCCCCCUUCUUCUGGAUAACCGCAUGAAAGUGUGGCUAAUACGGGAUAUUCUGGGUCUGUCGCAUGAUGGGUCUGGGAAAGAUAUUGUUUCGGUGGGGGAUGGGCUCGCGGCCUAUCAGCUUGUUGGUGGGGUGAUGGCCUACCAAGGCGGUGACGGGUAGCCGGCCUGAGAGGGUGGACGGUCACACUGGGACUGAGACACGGCCCAGACUCCUACGGGAGGCAGCAGUGGGGAAUAUUGCACAAUGGGCGCAAGCCUGAUGCAGCGACGCCGCGUGAGGGAUGGAGGCCUUCGGGUUGUGAACCUCUUUCGCCAGUGAAGCAGGCCUGCCUCGUUUGUGGGUGGGUUGACGGUAGCUGGAGAAGAAGCGCCGGCUAACUACGUG